RNAcentral lists this non-coding RNA (26 nucleotides) under Bombyx mori (domestic silkworm). Lineage: Eukaryota; Metazoa; Arthropoda; Insecta; Lepidoptera; Bombycidae. The record is from RNAcentral.
UGAUAACAGCGUUGCCACUACAGAUU